Molecule: long non-coding RNA, 912 nt
Filed under: Heterocephalus glaber (naked mole-rat)
Lineage: Eukaryota; Metazoa; Chordata; Mammalia; Rodentia; Bathyergidae
Description: lncRNA (ENSHGLG00100034654.1)
Source: RNAcentral
GGGGCACCAACCAAUAGGCUUGUAGCCUGGGUGGGAUAAAAGUCCAGAAGGCUCACCACUUCCUGCUUCCUGCCUGCCAUGCCAUGGACUGUUUCUCCUCUGUGAUGCCCCUCUGCGGUGCCCCUCUGUGAUGCCACCCAGCCGACUAUGGAGUGAAACCUCUACCAGCUGCGAGCCGCAAUGGACCUUUCCUCCUUUAACUUAUGUGAAGCCGUUCAGAGAGGCAGAGAGACUCCUGCAUGGACACCUAGCAGAGCUGGGAUCUGCAGCAGUCGGCAUGACUUUGGGAUUCCAAUAGUGGUCGGUGUGGGAACAGAAGCUCCCAAGUAGAGAACUGCCCACGGGGAUGCACCAAGACCUGGAAGUCUGGGGCUGGGGCGGUAAGGGCUUGUGAAAACUCAACUUGGAACAAAACCAAAUUACUUUCCAAGUGCAUCUUCCUUACUAAACAGCUCUACAAGGACGGAGACAUCUCUGCAGCUUUUGUCCCAGCUCGAGAACAGUGCCAGGUGUUUGCUGAAUGAAUGCAUGAACUGUGUCCGAUGGGUACCAAGUUCUGCAUCAGCAACUCUCCGUGUGUAACUGUUUCACCUUGUCAUCGACUCUGUGGCACGGGCAUUAUUAACCCUGGCUAGGAGUUACUCAUACAAGAACUUGGUGACUUCAUUUAAACUAGGAGUGGCACAGAUCUCCUCAUUCUCCCCGUCAGAACUACGACCCUAGAAACCGAGAGCAAGGAAGCAUCUGAAAAGGAGAAGUUAGUUCUGGAGAAAACUGAACAUAACUGGUGUGCACGCGUCACUGUGAAAUGGCAUCUUUCUCUUUGGGGAAGACCAGAACGGGGAGAGCGGGUCGAAUGCCAUUUCUGUUUCUAGUUUUCUGAGGAAUCUCUGUCCUGAUUGCCAAAAGCAC